Molecule: ribosomal RNA, 36 nt
Filed under: Pelobates cultripes (western spadefoot toad)
Lineage: Eukaryota; Metazoa; Chordata; Amphibia; Anura; Pelobatidae
Description: SSU_rRNA_eukarya
Source: RNAcentral
AGGGAGUCUGAGAAACGGCUACCACAUCCAAGGAUG